AUACUUAACUGGCAGGGGAGACACCAUGAUCACGAAGGUGGUUUUCCCAGGGCUAGCUUCUCCAUCGCACUGCGGAUGUGCUGACCCCUGCGAUUUCCCCAAAUGUGGGAAACUUGACUACAUAAUUUGUAGUAGUCAGGCACUGUGUUUGCACUGUCCCUGA
This is a small nuclear RNA of Oryctolagus cuniculus (rabbit), 163 nucleotides long. Its record names the gene U1. It matches the Rfam family "U1 spliceosomal RNA". Rfam says of the family: U1 is a small nuclear RNA (snRNA) component of the spliceosome (involved in pre-mRNA splicing). Its 5' end forms complementary base pairs with the 5' splice junction, thus defining the 5' donor site of an intron. NCBI's taxonomy places the organism in Eukaryota, Metazoa, Chordata, Mammalia, Lagomorpha, Leporidae. The record is from Ensembl.